UAAAAACCCCGACUUCGGAAGGGGUGUAUUUAUUAGAUACAAAACCAAUGCCCUUCGGGGCUCUUUGGUGAUUCAUGAUAACUAUACGAAUCGCACGGCCUUGCGCCGGCGAUGGUUCAUUCAAAUUUCUUCCCUAUCAACUUUCGAUGUUUGGGUAUUGGCCAAACAUGGUUGCAACGGGUAACGGAGGGUUAGGGCUCGACCCCGGAGAAGGAGCCUGAGAAACGGCUACUACAUCCAAGGAAGGCAGCAGGCGCGCAAAUUACCCAAUCCCGACUCGGGGAGGUAGUGACAAUAAAUACUGAUACAGGGCCCUUUCGGGCCUUGUAAUUGGAAUGAGUACAAUUUAAAUCCCUUAACGAGGAACAAUUGGAGGGCAAGUCUGGUGCCAGCAGCCGCGGUAAUUCCAGCUCCAAUAGCGAAUAUUAAAGUUGUUGUGGUUAAAAAGCUCGUAGUUGAACCUUGGGCCUGGCUGGCCGGUCCGCCUCACCGCGUGCACUGGUCCGGCCGGGCCUUUCCCUCUGUGGAACCCCAUACCCUUCACUGGGCGUGGCGGGGAAACAGGACAUUUACUUU
RNAcentral lists this ribosomal RNA (576 nucleotides) under uncultured eukaryote. RNAcentral describes it as "SSU rRNA". It matches the Rfam family "Eukaryotic small subunit ribosomal RNA", at positions 174 to 758 of the family's 1831-position model. The record is from RNAcentral.